UCCGGUUUGUCACCGGCAGUCUCGCAUGAGUCCCCAACUAAAUGCUGGCAACAUGCGACGGGGGUUGCGCUCGUUGCGGGACUUAACCCAACAUCUCACGACACGAGCUGACGACAGCCAUGCACCACCUGUGAAGAUGUCCCGAAGGAAAACCGUGUUUCCACGGCUGUCACUUACAUGUCAAGCCCAGGUAAGGUUCUUCGCGUUGCAUCGAAUUAAACCACAUGCUCCGCUGCUUGUGCGGGCCCCCGUCAAUUCCUUUGAGUUUCAGUCUUGCGACCGUACUCCCCAGGCGGAGUGCUUAAUGCGUUAGCUGCAGCACUAAGGGGCGGAAACCCCCUAACACUUAGCACCCAUAGUUUACGGCGUGGACUAC
Molecule: unclassified non-coding RNA, 376 nt
Filed under: uncultured bacterium
Lineage: Bacteria
Description: contains 16S-23S intergenic spacer region
Source: RNAcentral